AAAAACCGAGGUGGUAUGAGAUGGACCCGCGUCUGAUUAGCUGGUUGGCGGGGUAACGGCCCACCAAGGCGACGAUCAGUAGCCGACCUGAGAGGGUGGCCGGCCACAUUGGGACUGAGACACGGCCCAAACUCCUACGGGAGGCAGCAGUGGGGAAUAUUGCACAAUGGGGGAAACCCUGAUGCAGCAACGCCGCGUGAGUGAAGAAGUAUUUCGGUAUGUAAAGCUCUAUCAGCAGGGAAGAGAAUGACGGUACCUGACUAAGAAGCCCCGGCUAACUACGUGCCAGCAGCCGCGGUAAUACGUAGGGGGCGAGCGUUAUCCGGAUUUACUGGGUGUAAAGGGAGCGUAGACGGUUCUGCAAGUCUGAAGUGAAAGCCCGUGGCUUAACCGCGGAACGGCUUUGGAAACUGUGGAACUGGAGUGCUGGAGAGGCAAGCGGAAUUCCUAGUGUAGCGGUGAAAUGCGUAGAUAUUAGGAGGAACACCAGUGGCGAAGGCGGCUUGCUGGACAGUAACUGACGUUGAGGCUCGAAAGCGUGGGGAGCAAACAGGAUUAGAUACCCUGGUAGUCCACGCGGUAAACGAUGAAUGCUAGGUGUUGGGGAGCAAAGCUCUUCG
Molecule: ribosomal RNA, 620 nt
Filed under: uncultured bacterium
Lineage: Bacteria
Description: bacterial SSU rRNA
Rfam family: Bacterial small subunit ribosomal RNA
Source: RNAcentral